Molecule: ribosomal RNA, 372 nt
Filed under: uncultured organism
Description: partial 16S ribosomal RNA
Rfam family: Bacterial small subunit ribosomal RNA
Source: RNAcentral
GGAAGGUGCAAGCGUUAAUCGGAAUUACUGGGCGUAAAGCGCGCGUAGGCGGUUAGAUAAGUCGGGUGUGAAAGCCCCGGGCUCAACCUGGGAACUGCAUUCGAUACUGUUUGACUAGAGUGUAAUAGAGGGAGGCGGAAUUCCGCAUGUAGCGGUGAAAUGCGUAGAGAUGCGGAGGAACACCAAUGGCGAAGGCAGCCUCCUGGAUUAACACUGACGCUGAGGUGCGAAAGCGUGGGGAGCAAACAGGGAUUAGAUACCCUGGUAGUCCACGCUGUAAACGAUGUCAACUAGCCCGUUGGGAGCAAUUUGGCUCUUGGUGGCGCAGCUAACGCGAUAAGUUGACCGCCUGGGAGUACGGUCGCAAGAUUA